This 456-nucleotide ribosomal RNA is filed under the name uncultured Anaerolineaceae bacterium. RNAcentral's name for it is "bacterial SSU rRNA". It matches the Rfam family "Bacterial small subunit ribosomal RNA", at positions 916 to 1381 of the family's 1533-position model. Lineage: Bacteria; Bacillati; Chloroflexota; Anaerolineae; Anaerolineales; Anaerolineaceae. The record is from RNAcentral.
GACGGGACCCGCACAAGCAGCGGAGCGUGUUGGUUUAAUUCGUUGCUACACGAAGAACCUUUACCUGGGUUUGACAUAUAGGUUGUAGGGAACUGAAAAGGGACCGACCCUUCGGGAGCCUAUACAGGUGUUGCAUGGCUGUCGUCAGCUCGUGUCGUGAGAUGUUCGGUUAAGUCCGCUAACGAGCGCAACCCUCGUCGUAUGUUAUAUGUGUCAUACGAGACUGCCGGUAAAAGCCGGAGGAAGGUGAGGAUGAUGUCAAGUCAGCAUGACCUUUAUAUCCAGGGCUACACACACGCUACAAUGGUCUGUACAAUGGGUAGCCAAGCCGCGAGGCGGAGCCAAUCCUGAAAGCAGGCCUCAGUUCAGAUUGCAGUCUGCAACUCGACUGCAUGAAGCCGGAGUUGCUAGUAACCGCAGGUCAGCAAUACUGCGGUGAAUACGUUCCCGGGUCUU